This 253-nucleotide ribosomal RNA is filed under the name uncultured bacterium. Its description in RNAcentral is "partial 16S ribosomal RNA". It matches the Rfam family "Bacterial small subunit ribosomal RNA", at positions 524 to 776 of the family's 1533-position model. The record is from RNAcentral.
UACGGAGGGUGCAAGCGUUAUCCGGAUUCACUGGGUUUAAAGGGUGCGUAGGUGGGCAGGUAAGUCAGUGGUGAAAUCUCCGGGCUUAACUCGGAAACUGCCAUUGAUACUAUCUUUCUUGAAUACCGUGGAGGUCAGCGGAAUAUGUCAUGUAGCGGUGAAAUGCUUAGAUAUGACAUAGAACACCAAUUGCGAAGGCGGCUCACUGGACCGGAACUGACGCUGAGGCGCGAAAGCGUGGGGAGCAAACAGG